Molecule: transfer RNA, 72 nt
Filed under: Nitrospirota bacterium
Lineage: Bacteria; Pseudomonadati; Nitrospirota
Description: Nitrospirae bacterium (hydrothermal vent metagenome) tRNA-Gly
Rfam family: tRNA
About the family: Transfer RNA (tRNA) molecules are approximately 80 nucleotides in length. Their secondary structure includes four short double-helical elements and three loops (D, anti-codon, and T loops). Further hydrogen bonds mediate the characteristic L-shaped molecular structure. tRNAs have two regions of fundamental functional importance: the anti-codon, which is responsible for specific mRNA codon recognition, and the 3' end, to which the tRNAs corresponding amino acid is attached (by aminoacyl-tRNA synthetases). tRNAs cope with the degeneracy of the genetic code in two manners: having more than one tRNA (with a specific anti-codon) for a particular amino acid; and 'wobble' base-pairing, i.e. permitting non-standard base-pairing at the 3rd anti-codon position.
Source: RNAcentral
GCGGGUGUAGCUCAGUGGUAGAGCGCUACCUUGCCAAGGUAGAUGUCGUGGGUUCGAACCCCAUCACCCGCU